This 506-nucleotide ribosomal RNA is filed under the name Eulagisca uschakovi. Its description in RNAcentral is "partial large subunit ribosomal RNA". It matches the Rfam family "Bacterial large subunit ribosomal RNA", at positions 1811 to 2608 of the family's 2925-position model. The record is from RNAcentral. Lineage: Eukaryota; Metazoa; Annelida; Polychaeta; Phyllodocida; Polynoidae.
AAACAUUGCUUUUAGAUCCUCAUAUUAAAAGUUAAUCCUGCCCAGUGAUUUAAUUCAACGGCCGCGGUACCCUGACCGUGCAAAGGUAGCAUAAUCAUUUGCCUUUUAAUUGGAGGCUUGUAUGAACGGAUAAACGAAACUUCAGCUGUCUCAUUAUUUAAUCUAUAAAAUUUGGAUUUCAGGUGAAGAUACCUGAAUUAUUUAGAAAGACAAGAAGACCCCAUAGAGUUUUAGUUUUAAUAUUUUAACCUUAAAUAUAUAAACUUUGGUUGGGGCGACCCAGGAUUAUCAAAAACAUCCUUAAAUUACACGAUUUUUUUAUCUUAUUAUAGACCCUUAAGAUAAGAGCGAAAGAAGUAACUACCUUGGGGAUAACAGGCUUAUCUUCCUAAAGAGUUCACAUUGACAGGAAGGUCUGGCACCUCGAUGUUGGCUUAGAGUAACCUAUUAGUGCAGCAGCUAUUAAAGGUCAGUUUGUUCAACUGUUAAAUCUCUACGUGAUCUGA